UACGGAGGGGGCAAGCGUUGUUCGGAAUUAUUGGGCGUAAAGCGUGUGUAGGCGGCUAAGCAAGUCAGGCGUGCAAGCCCGUGGCUCAACCACGGAAUUGCGUUUGAAACUGCUUAGCUUGAGUACAGGAGAGGAAAGCGGAAUUCCCAGUGUAGCGGUGAAAUGCAUUGAUAUUGGGAAGAACAUCUGUGGCGAAGGCGGCUUUCUGGUCUGUUACUGACGCUGAGAUACGAAAGCCAGGGGAGCGAACGGGAUUAGAUACCCCGGUAGUCCUGGCUGUAAACGAUGGGCACUAGGUGCAGGAGGUAUCGAUCCCCUCUGUGCCGUAGCUAACGCGUUAAGUGCCCCGCCUGG
This 354-nucleotide ribosomal RNA is filed under the name uncultured Nitrospinaceae bacterium. RNAcentral describes it as "bacterial SSU rRNA". It matches the Rfam family "Bacterial small subunit ribosomal RNA", at positions 524 to 876 of the family's 1533-position model. The record is from RNAcentral. Lineage: Bacteria; Pseudomonadati; Nitrospinota; Nitrospinia; Nitrospinales; Nitrospinaceae.